GGAAACAGGUGCUAAUACCGUAUAACACUAUUUUCCGCAUGGAAGAAAGUUGAAAGGCGCUUUUGCGUCACUGAUGGAUGGACCCGCGGUGCAUUAGCUAGUUGGUGAGGUAACGGCUCACCAAGGCCACGAUGCAUAGCCGACCUGAGAGGGUGAUCGGCCACACUGGGACUGAGACACGGCCCAGACUCCUACGGGAGGCAGCAGUAGGGAAUCUUCGGCAAUGGACGAAAGUCUGACCGAGCAACGCCGCGUGAGUGAAGAAGGUUUUCGGAUCGUAAAACUCUGUUGUUAGAGAAGAACAAGGAUGAGAGUAAAAUGUUCAUCCCUUGACGGUAUCUAACCAGAAAGCCACGGCUAACUACGUGCCAGCAGCCGCGGUAAUACGUAGGUGGCAAGCGUUGUCCGGAUUUAUUGGGCGUAAAGCGAGCGCAGGCGGUUUCUUAAGUCUGAUGUGAAAGCCCCCGGCUCAACCGGGGAGGGUCAUUGGAAACUGGGAGACUUGAGUGCAGAAGAGGAGAGUGGAAUUCCAUGUGUAGCGGUGAAAUGCGUAGAUAUAUGGAGGAACACCAGUGGCGAAGGCGGCUCUCUGGUCUGUAACUGACGCUGAGGCUCGAAAGCGUGGGGAGCGAACAGGAUUAGAUACCCUGGUAGUCCACGCCGUAAACGAU
This 671-nucleotide ribosomal RNA is filed under the name uncultured bacterium. RNAcentral describes it as "bacterial SSU rRNA". It matches the Rfam family "Bacterial small subunit ribosomal RNA", at positions 152 to 810 of the family's 1533-position model. The record is from RNAcentral.